RNAcentral lists this ribosomal RNA (482 nucleotides) under uncultured bacterium. RNAcentral describes it as "partial 16S ribosomal RNA". It matches the Rfam family "Bacterial small subunit ribosomal RNA", at positions 29 to 523 of the family's 1533-position model. The record is from RNAcentral.
AAUGAACGUUGGCGGCGUGGAUUAGGCAUGCGGGUCGAGCGAGAACCGUAGCAAUACGGGGACAGCGGCGAAAGGGAGAGGAAUACGUGGGUACCUACCCUCAGACUCAGGAUAGCCAUGGGAAACUAUGGGUAAUACUGAAUAAUGUCUUCGGACCAAAGGUGUGAUUCCGUCCGAGGAGGGGCCCGCGUCCUAUUAGCUAGUUGGUGAGGUAACGGCUCACCAAGGCGAAGAUGGGUACGGGAUGUGAGAGCAUGAUCCCGCUCAUUGGGACUGAGACACUGCCCAGACACCUACGGGUGGCUGCAGUCGAGAAUCUUCGGCAAUGGGGGAAACCCUGACCGAGCGACGCCGCGUGCGAGAUGAAGGCCUUCGGGUUGUAAAUCGCUGUCAGUGGGGAGGAAGUGCAGGUGGGUUCUCCCAUCUGUUUGACCUAUCCGCAGAGGAAGGACGGGCUAAGUUCGUGCCAGCCGCCGCCGUAA